AUUGAACGCUGGCGGCAGGCCUAACACAUGCAAGUCGAGCGAGCGGCGGACGGGUGAGUAAUGUAUGGGGACUGCCCGAUAGAGGGGGAUAACUACUGGAAACGGUGGCUCAUACCGCAUACUGUCGGAUAACCCAUAUGGGAUUAGCUAGUAGGUAAGGUAAUGGCUUACCUAGGCGACGAUCCCUAGCUGGGCUGAGAGGAUGAUCAGCCACCCUGGGACUGGUGCACGGCCCAGACUCCUACGGAGGCAGCAGUGGGGAAUAUUGCACCAUGGGCGCCAGCCUGAUGCAGCCAUGCCGCGUGAGUGAUGACGGCCUUCGGGUUGUAAAGCUCUGUUAAUCGGGAGACGGUACCCGAAUGGAAAGCCACGGCUAACUACGUGCCAGCAGCCGCGGUAAUAC
Molecule: ribosomal RNA, 403 nt
Filed under: uncultured bacterium
Lineage: Bacteria
Description: partial 16S ribosomal RNA
Rfam family: Bacterial small subunit ribosomal RNA
Source: RNAcentral